Molecule: transfer RNA, 60 nt
Filed under: Stygobromus indentatus
Lineage: Eukaryota; Metazoa; Arthropoda; Malacostraca; Amphipoda; Crangonyctidae
Description: tRNA-Ala
Source: RNAcentral
AGAUUUAUAAUUUAAUUAAAAUACCUAGCUUGCACCUAGGACAUGCUGCCGCUUCAUCUA